Molecule: ribosomal RNA, 253 nt
Filed under: uncultured bacterium
Lineage: Bacteria
Description: partial 16S ribosomal RNA
Rfam family: Bacterial small subunit ribosomal RNA
Source: RNAcentral
UACGUAGGGGGCUAGCGUUGUCCGGAUUUAUUGGGCGUAAAGAGCGUGUAGGCGGCCAGAUAGGUCCGCUGUGAAAACUCGAGGCUCAACCUCGAGAUGUCGGCGGAAACCAUUUGGCUAGAGUCCGGAAGAGGAAAGUGGAAUUCCUGGUGUAGCGGUGAAAUGCGCAGAUAUCAGGAAGAACACCCGUGGCGAAGGCGGGUCUCUGGGCCGAUACUGACGCUGAGGAGCGAAAGCGUGGGGAGCGAACAGG